CUACCAGGUAGAUAGGUCAUCGGUGGAAGCGCUGUAAGGCGUGUAGCUUGAUGAUACUAAUCGGUCGAAAGCUUCAUUU
Molecule: ribosomal RNA, 79 nt
Filed under: Faecalibacterium sp. CAG:74_58_120
Lineage: Bacteria; Bacillati; Bacillota; Clostridia; Eubacteriales; Oscillospiraceae
Description: partial 23S ribosomal RNA
Source: RNAcentral